UAGGGAAUCUUCCACAAUGGACGCAAGUCUGAUGGAGCAACGCCGCGUGAGUGAAGAUGGGUUUCGGCUCGUAAAGCUCUGUUGUUAAAGAAGAACGUGGGUGAGAGUAACUGUUCACCCAGUGACGGUAUUUAACCAGAAAGCCACGGCUAACUACGUGCCAG
RNAcentral lists this ribosomal RNA (164 nucleotides) under uncultured bacterium. RNAcentral describes it as "partial 16S rRNA". It matches the Rfam family "Bacterial small subunit ribosomal RNA", at positions 355 to 511 of the family's 1533-position model. The record is from RNAcentral.